UAACACGUGAGCAACCUGCCUUUCAGAGGGGGAUAACAGUUGGAAACGACUGCUAAUACCGCAUAACGCUGCGAUGGGGCAUUCCGAUGCAGCCAAAGGAGCAAUCCGCUGGAAGAUGGGCUCGCGGCCGAUUAGCUAGUUGGUGGGGCAACGGCCCACCAAGGCGACGAUCGGUAGCCGGACUGAGAGGUUGAUCGGCCACAUUGGGACUGAGACACGGCCCAGACUCCUACGGAAGGCAGCAG
Molecule: ribosomal RNA, 245 nt
Filed under: uncultured bacterium
Lineage: Bacteria
Description: partial 16S ribosomal RNA
Rfam family: Bacterial small subunit ribosomal RNA
Source: RNAcentral